GAUGAACGCUGGCGGCGUGCCUAAUACAUGCAAGUCGAGCGAACAGAUGAGGAGCUUGCUCCUCUGACGUUAGCGGCGGACGGGUGAGUAACACGUGGAUAACCUACCUAUAAGACUUGGAUAACUUCGGGAAACCGGAGCUAAUACCGGAUAAUAUAUUGAACCGCAUGGUUCAAUAGUGAAAGACGGUUUUGCUGUCACUUAUAGAUGGAUCCGCGCCGCAUUAGCUAGUUGGUAAGGUAACGGCUUACCAAGGCAACGAUGCGUAGCCGACCUGAGAGGGUGAUCGGCCACACUGGAACUGAGACACGGUCCAGACUCCUACGGGAGGCAGCAGUAGGGAAUCUUCCGCAAUGGGCGAAAGCCUGACGGAGCAACGCCGCGUGAGUGAUGAAGGUCUUCGGAUCGUAAAACUCUGUUAUUAGGGAAGAACAAAUGUGUAAGUAACUAUGCACGUCUUGACGGUACCUAAUCAGAAAGCCACGGCUAACUACGUG
This 497-nucleotide ribosomal RNA is filed under the name uncultured bacterium. RNAcentral describes it as "partial 16S ribosomal RNA". It matches the Rfam family "Bacterial small subunit ribosomal RNA", at positions 28 to 507 of the family's 1533-position model. The record is from RNAcentral.